AUGACAUGUAUGUUUUAAAAACCAAAGAGUGCUCUGGAUCUGGUCCAGUGGACAGGGCUGUGCCAGGUGGCAUUUGUGCAGGUAAAAAAGGCUGUCUGUGGGGAGCCGCUGGAACUCAGGGUCACCUGAUCCAGCCCUAAUUAUAUGCUUUAGCAAAAAGGAAAGUUUUAAGCCUAAUUUUAAAAUUAGAGAUAGAGUCUGUCUCCUGAAUCCAAAUUGGAAUCACUAUAAGACAGAGGAGCACAUUACAAGCCUGAUACUUGCAAACCUAAAAAUUUCAGUAAACUUAAAAAGUUUUACAUGGAAACAACUGUGGUAGUUUCUGUGUAAUAAGCAGGACACAGCGCUGCAAAAUGCAAAACUGCCUGUUUCUAUUUAAUACAAUAUGAAUAACCUAUUAAAGUUUGUAUAUAAGAAUAGAAUAGAAUAGAAUAGAAUACUGAAACUCCUACAAAAUGUAAAUCAAAAUUUUAUCCUCAAUAUAUGUUGAACUGGUUAUUUUGUGGCAUUAAAUUCUGGCAGAGUAAAAACUUAUGAGAUGCCCACCCAGCUGGGUAUGUCCAUGUACAUUCAUACAUCUUGGUGUUCAUAGAUCUAGCUGUCGAUUGUAUUUUUAGGGCAGAAUAAGAAGAGGUAUUCAAAAAAAAGGUCAGUGCAGCCUCAGUGUCUAUAAAAGCCCUGGACCACACACACGGUUCCAUCUCUGCUCUGUAAUGCAGGAAGUACCCAUACACGGGUCUUUUUUUCACAGAUGAGCUUUUCUCACUUCCAGCUGAGCACUUACAUGUUACUUUCUUAGCCUGUGCUGCUAUGUGCAUCUAUUCAAAUAAUCUUUGAAAGAUUGAAACCACAGUGUGGGUGAAUGAAGAGCAUGGAACAGUUUUUUAUCAUUGUGCUAUUAGCAGGAGGAACUCAAGCUCUCAUUCCAGUUGAUGAGACUACAUGUGACCUCAGGACGAGCACAUGUCCAUGCUCUCCUCUUCUUAAAGGAACUGUGUAUGUCCAAGUGAUGACUGAUGCUAGUGGCCGUGAAGUGACAUGUUUGAAGAUGCUUCCCACCGUGAAUAUAAUUGUGUUCAAUCUGAAGAAAGAAACAAUAACAAUAGACAAAGAAUUUAACAACAGACUACACUUUCUAAUCAGGAACGGGACACUCAAGAUCACAAACCUGAGGAGGAAUGAUUCAGGUCAAUAUAACAUUGAGGUCUUUAAUUCAGGUGGAGUCCGAGAGAAAAACAUUAAUUUCACCCUGGAUGUUAAAGGCAAUGACAAAGUUGAAAGCAAGAUAUGUAAGUUACUCUUUAUUGAAUAG
Molecule: long non-coding RNA, 1312 nt
Filed under: Oreochromis niloticus (Nile tilapia)
Lineage: Eukaryota; Metazoa; Chordata; Actinopteri; Cichliformes; Cichlidae
Description: lncRNA (ENSONIG00000033023.1)
Source: RNAcentral